Molecule: ribosomal RNA, 116 nt
Filed under: Gammaproteobacteria bacterium
Lineage: Bacteria; Pseudomonadati; Pseudomonadota; Gammaproteobacteria
Also listed under: 1 other name
Source: RNAcentral
CCUGGCGGCAAUAGCGAGUGGGAACCACCCGAUCCCAUUUCGAACUCGGAAGUGAAAACGCUCAGCGCCGAUGGUAGUGUGGGGUCUCCCCAUGUGAGAGUAGGACACCGUCAGGA